This 254-nucleotide ribosomal RNA is filed under the name uncultured bacterium. Its description in RNAcentral is "partial 16S ribosomal RNA". It matches the Rfam family "Bacterial small subunit ribosomal RNA", at positions 524 to 776 of the family's 1533-position model. The record is from RNAcentral.
UACGUAGGGUCCAAGCGUUGUCCGGAUUUAUUGGGCGUAAAGAGCUCGUAGGCGGCUUAGUAAGUCGGAUGUGAAAACUCGGGGCUCAACCCCGAGACGCCAUCCGAUACUGCUGUGACUUGAGUCUGGUAGGGGAACACGGAAUUCCUGGUGUAGCGGUGAAAUGCGCAGAUAUCAGGAGGAACACCGGUGGCGAAGGCGGAUCUCUGGGCCUUACCUGACGCUGAGGAGCGAAAGCAUGGGGAGCAAACAGG